RNAcentral lists this small nuclear RNA (108 nucleotides) under Microcebus murinus (gray mouse lemur). Lineage: Eukaryota; Metazoa; Chordata; Mammalia; Primates; Cheirogaleidae. The record is from RNAcentral.
GUGCUUGUUUUGGCAGCACAGGUACUACAAUCAGAACAAAGCAGGGAAGAUUAGCAUGGCCUUUGCCCGGGGAUGCCAAGCAAAUCUGUAGAGUGUUCCAUAAAAAAU